GAUGAAGAACGCAGCGAAACGCGAUAGUUAAUGUGAAUUGUAGAAUUCAGUGAAUCAUCGAGUCUUUGAACGCACAUUGCGCCCCCUGGUAUUCCGGGGGGCAUGCCUGUCCGAGCGUCAUUGCUGCCCAUCAAGCGCGGCUUGUGUGUUGGGCCGCCGUCCGCCUUCCCCCCCGGGGGGAGGGGGACGGGCCCGAAAGGCAGCGGCGGCACCGCGUCCGGUCCUCGAGCGUAUGGGGCUCUGUCACCCGCUCUGGAGGCCCGGCCGGCGCCCGCCGACCCCCAACCUUCUUCUAACCAGGUUGACCUCGGAUCAGGUAGGGAUACCCGCUGAACUUAAGCAUAUCAAUAAGCGGAGGA
This 359-nucleotide unclassified non-coding RNA is filed under the name soil metagenome. RNAcentral describes it as "partial contains 5.8S ribosomal RNA, internal transcribed spacer 2, and large subunit ribosomal RNA". The stretch from base 1 to 120 matches the Rfam family "5.8S ribosomal RNA", at positions 35 to 154 of the family's 154-position model. The record is from RNAcentral.